RNAcentral lists this ribosomal RNA (1478 nucleotides) under Enterococcus sp. RNAcentral describes it as "bacterial SSU rRNA". It matches the Rfam family "Bacterial small subunit ribosomal RNA". The record is from RNAcentral. Lineage: Bacteria; Bacillati; Bacillota; Bacilli; Lactobacillales; Enterococcaceae.
GGAGAACGCUGGCGGCGUGCCUAAUACAUGCAAGUCGUACGCUUCUUUUUCCACCGGAGCUUGCUCCACCGGAAAAAGAAGAGUGGCGAACGGGUGAGUAACACGUGGGUAACCUGCCCAUCAGAAGGGGAUAACACUUGGAAACAGGUGCUAAUACCGUAUAACAAUCGAAACCGCAUGGUUUUGAUUUGAAAGGCGCUUUCGGGUGUCGCUGAUGGAUGGACCCGCGGUGCAUUAGCUAGUUGGUGAGGUAACGGCUCACCAAGGCUACGAUGCAUAGCCGACCUGAGAGGGUGAUCGGCCACAUUGGGACUGAGACACGGCCCAAACUCCUACGGGAGGCAGCAGUAGGGAAUCUUCGGCAAUGGACGAAAGUCUGACCGAGCAACGCCGCGUGAGUGAAGAAGGUUUUCGGAUCGUAAAACUCUGUUGUUAGAGAAGAACAAGGAUGAGAGUAACUGUUCAUCCCUUGACGGUAUCUAACCAGAAAGCCACGGCUAACUACGUGCCAGCAGCCGCGGUAAUACGUAGGUGGCAAGCGUUGUCCGGAUUUAUUGGGCGUAAAGCGAGCGCAGGCGGUUUCUUAAGUCUGAUGUGAAAGCCCCCGGCUCAACCGGGGAGGGUCAUUGGAAACUGGGAGACUUGAGUGCAGAAGAGGAGAGUGGAAUUCCAUGUGUAGCGGUGAAAUGCGUAGAUAUAUGGAGGAACACCAGUGGCGAAGGCGGCUCUCUGGUCUGUAACUGACGCUGAGGCUCGAAAGCGUGGGGAGCAAACAGGAUUAGAUACCCUGGUAGUCCACGCCGUAAACGAUGAGUGCUAAGUGUUGGAGGGUUUCCGCCCUUCAGUGCUGCAGCUAACGCAUUAAGCACUCCGCCUGGGGAGUACGACCGCAAGGUUGAAACUCAAAGGAAUUGACGGGGGCCCGCACAAGCGGUGGAGCAUGUGGUUUAAUUCGAAGCAACGCGAAGAACCUUACCAGGUCUUGACAUCCUUUGACCACUCUAGAGAUAGAGCUUCCCCUUCGGGGGCAAAGUGACAGGUGGUGCAUGGUUGUCGUCAGCUCGUGUCGUGAGAUGUUGGGUUAAGUCCCGCAACGAGCGCAACCCUUAUUGUUAGUUGCCAUCAUUCAGUUGGGCACUCUAGCAAGACUGCCGGUGACAAACCGGAGGAAGGUGGGGAUGACGUCAAAUCAUCAUGCCCCUUAUGACCUGGGCUACACACGUGCUACAAUGGGAAGUACAACGAGUCGCGAAGUCGCGAGGCUAAGCUAAUCUCUUAAAGCUUCUCUCAGUUCGGAUUGUAGGCUGCAACUCGCCUACAUGAAGCCGGAAUCGCUAGUAAUCGCGGAUCAGCACGCCGCGGUGAAUACGUUCCCGGGCCUUGUACACACCGCCCGUCACACCACGAGAGUUUGUAACACCCGAAGUCGGUGAGGUAACCUUUUGGAGCCAGCCGCCUAAGGUGGGAUAGAUGAUUGG